This 489-nucleotide ribosomal RNA is filed under the name uncultured bacterium. RNAcentral describes it as "partial 16S ribosomal RNA". It matches the Rfam family "Bacterial small subunit ribosomal RNA", at positions 30 to 507 of the family's 1533-position model. The record is from RNAcentral.
UUGAACGCUGGCGGCAGGCCUAACACAUGCAAGUCGCACGGUAACAGGAAACAGCUUGCUGUUUCGCUGACGAGUGGCGGACGGGUGAGUAAUGUCUGGGAAACUGCCUGAUGGAGGGGGAUAACUACUGGAAACGGUAGCUAAUACCGCAUAACGUCGCAAGACCAAAGAGGGGGACCUUCGGGCCUCUUGCCAUCGGAUGUGCCCAGAUGGGAUUAGCUAGUAGGUGGGGUAACGGCUCACCUAGGCGACGAUCCCUAGCUGGUCUGAGAGGAUGACCAGCCACACUGGAACUGAGACACGGUCCAGACUCCUACGGGAGGCAGCAGUGGGGAAUAUUGCACAAUGGGCGCAAGCCUGAUGCAGCCAUGCCGCGUGUAUGAAGAAGGCCUUCGGGUUGUAAAGUACUUUCAGCGGGGAUGAAGGGAGUAAAGUUAAUACCUUUGCUCAUUGACGUUACCCGCAGAAGAAGCACCGGCUAACUCCGUG